Bactrocera oleae (olive fruit fly) is the source of this 726-nucleotide non-coding RNA. Lineage: Eukaryota; Metazoa; Arthropoda; Insecta; Diptera; Tephritidae. The record is from RefSeq and is a predicted model, not a curated record.
UAUAAUAUGCCAUAUUACUACAUUUGUAAAAUAACAUAAUUUAAUAGCAAAAAAAAUUGCUGGAAAUUCUAAUUUUUUCGUGCCUCUGUUUUUAGAGUUCACGCACUUUAUACUCACUCAUUUCGGACUUCAACUGUAUGGAUAGCUCCUUUCGUUUCCCUGGGGCACGGUAUCUCUCCUAGUACCAAUGACAGUUAUCAUUUCUACCAAUAGAACGAUAUUGCUUCAUGACUCGACAUUCCACUACAAUUUGAAUGCUCAACACAGAUUGUGCUAAGAUAUGAAACAUAAGGAGCAUGGUUCCUGUGGUUUAAGCAAAGAAAUUCUAUGUCGUUCUAGUUUUUGAGGAAGCCUAGGCUUGCGUAUUUUUAUGCUGCGAAGUCGAUCAAAUAAGUUAAAUGAUAUCUGUUAGGUGCAGGAAGUUAACCUUAGGUGAACGACAAUACCAGACCACUUAUAAAACCUUACCAAAGUUCAUGAUCAUAAGUGAAUAACCGUAUUAUGAUAAUUCUAUUAUUUUUAUGUAUAUCUACACAAGGUUCGGCUAGCUAAAAGUUAUGAAAACUCUAUUCCAACCACUGCAGAAUAUUGAUUUAAUUAAUCUCAUAAAGCUUGUUAGUAUAAAAAAGCGCUAAUUCUAGCAUUGUCACAACAUUAAGCGGCAUACUAAUGUUAACUACAAAAAAACCUGUUUCGAAUACCGAAGCCCUUAUGUUGAAAUAAUAC